RNAcentral lists this ribosomal RNA (253 nucleotides) under uncultured bacterium. RNAcentral describes it as "partial 16S ribosomal RNA". It matches the Rfam family "Bacterial small subunit ribosomal RNA", at positions 524 to 776 of the family's 1533-position model. The record is from RNAcentral.
GACAGAGGUGCCGAGCGUUAGGCGGAAUUACUGGGCGUAAAGCGUGCGUAGACGGUUAUGUAAGUUAGGUGUGAAAGCCCCGGGCUCAACCUGGGAAUUGCAUUUAAGACUGCAUAGCUAGGGUGCGGAAGAGGGAAGCGGAAUUUCCGGUGUAGCGGUGAAAUGCGUAGAUAUCGGAAGGAACACCAGUGGCGAAAGCGGCUUCCUGGUCCAGCACCGACGUUCAGGCACGAAAGCGUGGGGAGCAAACAGG